MicroRNA precursor from Bison bison bison, 83 nucleotides. NCBI's taxonomy places the organism in Eukaryota, Metazoa, Chordata, Mammalia, Artiodactyla, Bovidae. The record is from Ensembl.
GUGGUACUUGAGGAGAGGUUUUCUAGGUCUCUGUUUCUUUCAUGAGGAUGAAACACACCUGGUUAACCUUUUUUCCAGUAUCA